RNAcentral lists this ribosomal RNA (792 nucleotides) under uncultured bacterium. RNAcentral describes it as "bacterial SSU rRNA". It matches the Rfam family "Bacterial small subunit ribosomal RNA", at positions 8 to 796 of the family's 1533-position model. The record is from RNAcentral.
AGAGUUUGAUCAUGGCUCAGGAUGAACGCUAGCGGCAGGCCUAAUACAUGCAAGCCGAACGGCAAGUUGAGUAGCAAUACUUGACCUAGAGUGGCGUAAGGGUGCGUAACACGUAUGCAAUCUGCCCACAACAGGAGGAUAGCUCCCCGAAAGGGGAAUUAACCCUCCAUAGGAUCACACGAAGGCAUCUGAGAGUGAUUAAACCAAAAGGGGUUGUGGAUGAGCAUGCGGUUGAUUAGCUAGUUGGCGGGGUAACGGCCCACCAAGGCGAUGAUCAAUAGGGGAACUGAGAGGUUUAUCCCCCACACUGGCACUGAGAUACGGGCCAGACUCCUACGGGAGGCAGCAGUAGGGAAUAUUGGACAAUGGGCGAGAGCCUGAUCCAGCCAUGCCGCGUGCAGGAAGAAGGCCUUCUGGGUUGUAAACUGCUUUUGCCAGGGGAUAAAAGACCCGUGCGCGGGGAAUUGAAGGUACCUGGUGAAUAAGCCACGGCUAACUACGUGCCAGCAGCCGCGGUAAUACGUAGGUGGCAAGCGUUGUCCGGAUUUAUUGGGUUUAAAGGGUGCGUAGGCGGUUCCAUAAGUCAGUGGUGAAAUACGGCAGCUCAACUGUCGAGGUGCCAUUGAUACUGUGGAACUUGAGUACAGACGAGGUAGGCGGAAUUGACGGUGUAGCGGUGAAAUGCUUAGAUAUCGUCAAGAACACCGAUAGCGAAGGCAGCUUACUAGACUGUAACUGACGCUGAGGCACGAAAGUGUGGGGAUCAAACAGGAUUAGAUACCCUAGUAGUCC